RNAcentral lists this ribosomal RNA (164 nucleotides) under uncultured bacterium. Its description in RNAcentral is "partial 16S ribosomal RNA". It matches the Rfam family "Bacterial small subunit ribosomal RNA", at positions 355 to 511 of the family's 1533-position model. The record is from RNAcentral.
UAGGGAAUCUUCCACAAUGGGCGAAAGCCUGAUGGAGCAACGCUGCGUGUGUGAUGAAGGGUUUCGGCUCGUAAAACACUGUUGUAAGAGAAGAAUGACAUUGAGAGUAACUGUUCAAUGUGUGACGGUAUCUUACCAGAAAGGAACGGCUAAAUACGUGCCAG